Long non-coding RNA from Nyctereutes procyonoides (raccoon dog), 2061 nucleotides. RefSeq lists it as uncharacterized. The record is from RefSeq and is a predicted model, not a curated record. NCBI's taxonomy places the organism in Eukaryota, Metazoa, Chordata, Mammalia, Carnivora, Canidae. The transcript is spliced from 3 exons.
AUAAGGACUACUUUGUUCUUUUCAAGAGUUGCUUGGUACUCUUUCCUAUGGCUGGUUCACUAUUUUUAUCUUUUGCUGUGAGCCAGCGCAGUGCUGUUAUUGCGUGGAGGAUAUUGGUUGGGUAAACGUCCAGAAGAGGACCUGCUGUAGUCCCUCCUUAUCCACAGUUUCCCUUUCCAUGGGUUCAGUUACUCGUGGUCAACCACCGUCUGGAAGCAGGUGAUCUUGACAAUACAUCAGAAGGUCACUAGCGGCUUAGCGCUAUGUUGCAACGCCUAUGACGUUCAUGUAUCUCAUCUUAUCAUGUAGGGAUUUUAUCAUCUCACAUCAUCACGAGAAGAAGGGAAAUAUGGAGGACAGAGGAACAUGUUAAAAUGGCACCAUGAGGGAACACCUGCAAAGUUGAUUUUGCAUAUUCCCCAGAACAAACAACCUGUGCCGGGCAGAACAACGGCUCCAGAAUAUUUCUACAUCCAAAUCUCUGGAACUCGUGAAUAUAGUAAGUAACCUGGCAAGAGAGAAUAAGAGAGCAGGUGAGAUUAAGGUUGCUAAGCAGUUGACCUUGAGAUGGGGGAGAUUCUCCUGGGUUACCUGGGUGGGUUCAGUGUCAUAAGUGAAAGAGAGAGGGAGAGUCCAUUUCAGUGAUGUGAUGUAUGAAAGAGUUGACAGGCCAUCGCUGGCUCUGAAGAUGAGCAAGAAGGUCGUGAGCCAAGUGACCGCCAUGAGCUUGGAAAAGGCAAGCAAACAGAUUCUCCCCUAGACCCUCCAGAAGGAGCACAUCCCUGGGAACAAUCUUGAUCUUAACCCAUUGAGACCCGAGCCAGAUAUCUGGUCUCUGAACUGUAAACUACUGCAUUUGUGUUGUUUUAAGGCAAUAUUUGUGGUCAUUUGUUUACAGCAAAUGACUUAUGUACUUCAACAACAAAAAAAGCAUGUUCGGAAUGGAGACUGUAGGGGCGCCUGGGUGGCUCAGUCAGGAUCCCAGGGUCCUGGGAUUGAGCCCCACAUUGGGCUCCCUGCUCAGUGGGAGUCUGCUUCUCCCUCUGUUUCUGUUCCUCUCCCUGGCUCAUGUGCGCUCUCUCUCUCUCUCUUGCUCUCGCUCAUAAAUAAAUAAAUAAAUAAAUAAAUAAAUAAAUAAAUAAAUAAAAUCUUUUUUAAAAAAUGGAGACUGUAGCUAGCACAGUGCCUCCCCAUGACGGUGGCCCUGGAGAUCAGCCGUAAGCAUAUCAAUGACUUCCUGUGUCCUGCCUCUGCUUGAGGGUCCCCUCUGGCUGCUGAAAUGUGCUGGUCCUGCCUCGAAGGAACUCAUACAAGCACAGAGGGUAACCCAGAGAUUGAGAGAGAUUUAAGAGACACAUCAGCCUAUCACAGUCUAUGCCUUGAAUUACCUGGACCUUAUCUGGAUCCUGAUUCAAACACGUUUAAAAGUCCUGAAAACAAAACAAAAGAAAAAGCAAAACCCCAACAAUGCCAUGAAUGACAUAUAUGAGAUAAGCAGAAAUCUGAACACCAGGUUGGACAUUUGAAAAUAUUAAGAAAUUAUUGUUAAGUUGUUAAAUUUGAGGAUGUGAUAAUGGUGCUUUGGCUAUAUUAAAGUAAGAAGUUCUUACCAUUUAAAGAUAAGUUUUGGAAUAAUUAUGAGUGAAUUGAUAGUGGGUCUGACAUUUGGGAUUUGCUUCAAGAUAAUGCAAGAGAUGAAGAAAAGAGAAGGUGUGUGUAUGUGGAGCAGGAAUAGCUCUGAGCCGAUAACCACUGAAGCUAGGAGAUGCACAGAGGGGGCUCCUUUUACUACUUCCCUGACUUUGCCUACUUUGAUAGAUGCUAGAAAUUUCCAGAAUUACAAAAUGCCCACUCAAAUUAGGUUAGAGUUAAUUGUUGAGCAAUUGUGACUAAAGGCAUGGGCUUUGGGAUCACAUCAGCCUGGGAGAGUCUGACCCUCACUGAUUCAGAUGGCCGAUUCUAUGUGGGGCUAAGACAAGGGAGGUGGGGUGGAGAGAGAAAUUGGGAGGGAGGUAAUACAGGCAAAGAAAGUGCUUCAUGAGUAAAGACACAGAAGUGACA